This 480-nucleotide ribosomal RNA is filed under the name Streptomyces sp. RNAcentral describes it as "bacterial SSU rRNA". It matches the Rfam family "Bacterial small subunit ribosomal RNA", at positions 91 to 584 of the family's 1533-position model. Lineage: Bacteria; Bacillati; Actinomycetota; Actinomycetes; Kitasatosporales; Streptomycetaceae. The record is from RNAcentral.
AUUAGUGGCGAACGGGUGAGUAACACGUGGGCAAUCUGCCCUGCACUCUGGGACAAGCCCUGGAAACGGGGUCUAAUACCGGAUACUGAUCCGCCUGGGCAUCCAGGCGGUUCGAAAGCUCCGGCGGUGCAGGAUGAGCCCGCGGCCUAUCAGCUUGUUGGUGAGGUAGUGGCUCACCAAGGCGACGACGGGUAGCCGGCCUGAGAGGGCGACCGGCCACACUGGGACUGAGACACGGCCCAGACUCCUACGGGAGGCAGCAGUGGGGAAUAUUGCACAAUGGGCGAAAGCCUGAUGCAGCGACGCCGCGUGAGGGAUGACGGCCUUCGGGUUGUAAACCUCUUUCAGCAGGGAAGAAGCGAAAGUGACGGUACCUGCAGAAGAAGCGCCGGCUAACUACGUGCCAGCAGCCGCGGUAAUACGUAGGGCGCAAGCGUUGUCCGGAAUUAUUGGGCGUAAAGAGCUCGUAGGCGGCUUGUC